GUAAACAGAGUCUGCUGUGAGCAGCAGAGAGUGCUACAAAUGGGAUUUAUUUGGGUCCCUGAGAUGUGCCCAAAAUUCAUGAAAUAUUGACAAAAACAUAGUAAGACAUUUCAUCACCUUUAUAAAAAUUAUCAGCAUUUUUGAGUGUCAGAAUCUCGGUUCAAUCGAGUUUACUUCGAGCUGUUCUUCACAUACUGCAGUUUGCAACCUGAAACUGACUACCUUCUGAGUUUAUUUGGACGACCUAUACAUUUCCAAAAUUUAUGAGAUUUUUAUUGAAGAUCCCCAAGAUAUUCCUCUAUCCAAAUAAAAAGUUAUUCUUGAUCGGACGUCAUUAACCAUACCCAUUUGAGCUUGUGGUGAGCUUUGUCUCCGCUGUCUACUGCAAACUGCAACAGGUGAGCACUUGUUUUGUAUUUAUUAAACCCUUAAUGCAUCAAAAUUGCAUAAAAUUUUCUAUGUAAGAUUCCACAACAUUCUUCUGUUCACAUAAAAGAAUUAGUUUUGAUUGGAGGUCAUUAUUUGAAUCCAGGUUGAAGAUUGUUUCAGCAGUCUGCUGCAAAUUGCAACAGAUAAGGAUUUCCCUAGUUUUGAAUUAUUUUUUUUGAUCUCCUUCGCUCCACCAUCUUUGUGAAUCAUUUGGCCCAAUUUGUCAAGUCUAUAUGGAACACUAUUCAGAUCACGGCAGACUUGUCAAAAGCCCUAUCUUUCAUCCAAACCUGCUGAUUUUCUUUCACCCAAAAAAUCAGUUGAUUCUCCACGUCAAGUUUUAUUGACCGUUUCAAAGGCCUUGCCAAAAUUCUGGACCAUUUGGAAAAAAUUAUCAUGGGUUUCUUCAUCAAGGUCUAUGUGAACAUAUCUUAGUUAAUUUGAAUGUCUCAGAAAAUACCCCCAAACAAAGGCGAC
This 906-nucleotide long non-coding RNA is filed under the name Amborella trichopoda. RNAcentral's name for it is "long non-coding RNA (ATRI_LNC003340)". The record is from RNAcentral. Lineage: Eukaryota; Viridiplantae; Streptophyta; Magnoliopsida; Amborellales; Amborellaceae.